GAUGAAGAACGUAGCGAAAUGCGAUAAGUAAUGUGAAUUGCAGAAUUCAGUGAAUCAUCGAAUCUUUGAACGCACAUUGCGCCCGCCAGUAUUCUGGCGGGCAUGCCUGUUCGAGCGUCAUUUCAACCAUCAAGCCCCCCGGCUUGUGUUGGGGACCUGCGGCUGCCGCAGGCCCUGAAAAGCAGUGGCGGGCUCGCUGUCACACCGAGCGUAGUAGAUCUCAUCUCGCUCAGGGCGUGCUGCGGGUUCCGGCCGUUAAAUGAAAAGCCUUCGUAGCCCAAGGUUGACCUCGGAUCAGGUAGGAAGACCCGCUGAACUUAAGCAUAUCAAUAAGCGGAGGA
This 341-nucleotide unclassified non-coding RNA is filed under the name soil metagenome. RNAcentral describes it as "partial contains 5.8S ribosomal RNA, internal transcribed spacer 2, and large subunit ribosomal RNA". The stretch from base 1 to 120 matches the Rfam family "5.8S ribosomal RNA", at positions 35 to 154 of the family's 154-position model. The record is from RNAcentral.